This 251-nucleotide ribosomal RNA is filed under the name uncultured prokaryote. RNAcentral describes it as "partial 16S rRNA". It matches the Rfam family "Bacterial small subunit ribosomal RNA", at positions 525 to 775 of the family's 1533-position model. The record is from RNAcentral.
ACGAGUGGUGCAAGCGUUAUUCGGAAUCAUUGGGCGUACAGGGCGUGUAGGUGGUAUGUUAAGUCUGUUGUUAAAGACUCUAGCCUAACUGGAGAAAGGCAAUGGAAACUGGUGUACUAGAGGGUGGAAGAGAGAAGUGGAAUUCUCGGUGUAGCGGUAAAAUGCGUAGAUAUCGGGAGGAACACCCAUGGCGAAAGCAGCUUCUUUGGCCAUAACUUACACUUAGGCGGGAAAGCGUUGGGAGCAAACAG